Salmo salar (Atlantic salmon) is the source of this 202-nucleotide non-coding RNA. NCBI's taxonomy places the organism in Eukaryota, Metazoa, Chordata, Actinopteri, Salmoniformes, Salmonidae. The record is from RefSeq and is a predicted model, not a curated record.
GGUUAUAUAGUUAAGGUGUAGGUAGAGACGUGGUUAUAUAGUUAAGGUGUAGGUAGAGACGUGGUUAUAUAGUUAAGGUGUAGGUAGAGACGUGGUUAUAGAGUUAAGGUGUAGGUAAAGACGUGGUUAUAUAGUUAAGGUGUAGGUAGAGACGUGGUUAUAUAGUUAAGGUGUAGGCAGAGAUGUGUCUACCUCUGAUGAC